GGAGAGAUGUCCGAGUUGGUCUAAGGAGCACGCCUGGAGAGCGUGUAGGCCCCAAAAGGGCCUCCUGGGUUCAAAUCCCAGUCUCUCCG
Molecule: transfer RNA, 89 nt
Filed under: candidate division Zixibacteria bacterium RBG_16_53_22
Lineage: Bacteria; Pseudomonadati; Candidatus Zixiibacteriota
Description: tRNA-Ser
Rfam family: tRNA
About the family: Transfer RNA (tRNA) molecules are approximately 80 nucleotides in length. Their secondary structure includes four short double-helical elements and three loops (D, anti-codon, and T loops).
Source: RNAcentral